UAGGGAAUCUUCGGCAAUGGACGAAAGUCUGACCGAGCAACGCCGCGUGAGUGAAGAAGGUUUUCGGAUCGUAAAACUCUGUUGGUAGAGAAGAACGUUGGUGCGAGUGGAAAGCUCAUCAAGUGACGGUAACUACCCAGAAAGGGACGGCUAACUACGUGCCAG
This 165-nucleotide ribosomal RNA is filed under the name uncultured bacterium. RNAcentral describes it as "partial 16S rRNA". It matches the Rfam family "Bacterial small subunit ribosomal RNA", at positions 355 to 511 of the family's 1533-position model. The record is from RNAcentral.